RNAcentral lists this ribosomal RNA (402 nucleotides) under bacterium Ellin5206. RNAcentral describes it as "bacterial SSU rRNA". It matches the Rfam family "Bacterial small subunit ribosomal RNA", at positions 28 to 441 of the family's 1533-position model. Lineage: Bacteria; Bacillati; Actinomycetota; Actinomycetes; Sporichthyales; Sporichthyaceae. The record is from RNAcentral.
GACGAACGCUGGCGGCGUGCUUAACACAUGCAAGUCGAGCGAGGAGCUUUGCUCCUAGCGGCGAACGGGUGAGUAACACGUGGGCAACCUGCCCCGAGCUCUGGGAUAACUCCGGGAAACCGGAGCUAAUACCGGAUAUGACUUCGAUAGGCAUCUUUCGAAGUGUAAAGAUUUAUCGGCUCGGGAUGGGCCCGCGGCCUAUCAGCUUGUUGGUGGGGUAACGGCCUACCAAGGCGASGACGGGUAGCCGGCCUGAGAGGGCGACCGGCCACACUGGGACUGAGACACGGCCCAGACUCCUACGGGAGGCAGCAGUGGGGAAURUUGYGCAAUGGGCGAAAGGGGGACGCAGYGACGCCGCGUGAGGGAUGAAGGCCUUCGGGUAGUAAACCUCUUUCAGCA